RNAcentral lists this ribosomal RNA (461 nucleotides) under uncultured bacterium. RNAcentral's name for it is "bacterial SSU rRNA". It matches the Rfam family "Bacterial small subunit ribosomal RNA", at positions 29 to 507 of the family's 1533-position model. The record is from RNAcentral.
ACGAACGCUGGCGGCGUGCCUAACACAUGCAAGUCGAACGGGGUAGUUCCUUCGGGGGACUACUUAGUGGCGAACGGGUGAGUAACGCGUGAGAAACCUGCCUUUCAGUGGGGGACAACAGUUGGAAACGACUGCUAAUACCGCAUAAGCGCACAGCAUCGCAUGAUGCAGUGUGAAAAACUCCGGUGGUAUGAGAUGGACCCGCGUUGGAUUAGCUAGUUGGAGGGGGUAACGGCCCACCAAGGCGACGAUCCAUAGCCGACCUGAGAGGGUGACCGGCCACAUUGGGACUGAGACACGGCCCAAACUCCUACGGGAGGCAGCAGUGGGGAAUAUUGCACAAUGGGGGAAACCCUGAUGCAGCGACGCCGCGUGAGUGAAGAAGUAUUUCGGUACGUAAAGCUCUAUCAGCAGGGAAGAAAAUGACGGUACCUGACUAAGAAGCCCCGGCUAACUACGUG